Molecule: ribosomal RNA, 626 nt
Filed under: uncultured bacterium
Lineage: Bacteria
Description: bacterial SSU rRNA
Rfam family: Bacterial small subunit ribosomal RNA
Source: RNAcentral
UUGGUGGGGUUGUGGCCUACCAAGGCGACGACGGGUAGCCGGCCUGAGAGGGUGACCGGCCACACUGGGACUGAGACACGGCCCAGACUCCUACGGGAGGCAGCAGUGGGGAAUCUUGCGCAAUGGGCGAAAGCCUGACGCAGCGACGCCGCGUGGGGGAUGAAGGCCUUCGGGUUGUAAACCUCUUUCAGCAGGGAAGAAGCGAGAGUGACGGUACCUGCAGAAGAAGCACCGGCUAACUACGUGCCAGCAGCCGCGGUAAUACGUAGGGUGCAAGCGUUGUCCGGAAUUAUUGGGCGUAAAGAGCUCGUAGGUGGCGGGUCACGUCGGGUGUGAAAGCCCGGGGCGUAACCCCGGGUCUGCAUUCGAUACGGGCUUGCUAGGGUCCGGCAGGGGAGACUGGAAUUCCUGGUGUAGCGGUGAAAUGCGCAGAUAUCAGGAGGAACACCGGUGGCGAAGGCGGGUCUCUGGGCCGGUACCGACGCUGAGGAGCGAAAGCGUGGGGAGCGAACAGGAUUAGAUACCCUGGUAGUCCACGCCGUAAACGUUGGGCGCUAGGUGUGGGGAGCAUUCCACGUUCUCUGUGCCGUAGCUAACGCAUUAAGCGCCCCGCCUGGGGAGUACGG